CAAGUCGAACGGUAACAGGGAAGAGCUUGCUCUUUCGCUGACGAGUGGCGCACGGGUGCGUAACGCGUAUACAACCUACCUUUUACAGUGGGAUAGCCUUUAGAAAUGAAGAUUAAUACCGCAUAGUAUCCAGGUACCGCAUGGUAUCGGGAUUAAAACCUCGGUGGUAAAAGAUGGGUAUGCGUUCUAUUAGCUGGAUGGUGUGGUAACGGCACACCAUGGCGACGAUAGAUAGGGGCCCUGAGAGGGGGAUCCCCCACACUGGUACUGAGACACGGACCAGACUCCUACGGGAGGCAGCAGUGAGGAAUAUUGGACAAUGGGCGAUAGCCUGAUCCAGCCAUGCCGCGUGCAGGAAGACUGCCCUAUGGGUUGUAAACUGCUUUUGUGCGGGAAGAAACCCAGCUACGCGUAGCUGGCUGACGGUACCGUAAGAAUAAGCAUCGGCUAACUCCGUGCCAGCAGCCGCGGUAAUACGGAGGAUGCAAGCGUUAUCCGGAAUCAUUGGGUUUAAAGGGUCCGUAGGUGGACGGUUAAGUCAGAGGUGAAAUCCUGCAGCUCAACUGUAGAACUGCCUUUGAUACUGGCCGUCUUGAAUUAUUGUGAAGUGGUUAGAAUAUGUAGUGUAGCGGUGAAAUGCAUAGAUAUUACAUAGAAUACCGAUUGCGAAGGCAGAUCACUAACAAUAUAUUGACACUGAUGGACGAAAGCGUGGGGAGCGAACAGGAUUAGAUACCCUGGUAGUCCACGCCGUAAACGAUGGUCACUAGCUGUU
This 775-nucleotide ribosomal RNA is filed under the name uncultured bacterium. RNAcentral describes it as "bacterial SSU rRNA". It matches the Rfam family "Bacterial small subunit ribosomal RNA", at positions 58 to 824 of the family's 1533-position model. The record is from RNAcentral.